ACAUUUUCCUGGCAGUAGAGACACCAUGAUGAAGAGGGUGGUUCACCAUUGGUGAGGCUUAGCCAUAGCACUUCAGGCUAGGUUGACCUAAUUGAAUUUUCCAAAUGAGGGAAUCUCAACUGCAUCAUUUCUGAUACUGGGGCACUGCGUCCGUGCUCUCUCCUG
Small nuclear RNA from Engraulis encrasicolus (European anchovy), 165 nucleotides. RefSeq annotates it as U1 spliceosomal RNA. NCBI's taxonomy places the organism in Eukaryota, Metazoa, Chordata, Actinopteri, Clupeiformes, Engraulidae. The transcript has a single exon. The record is from RefSeq and is a predicted model, not a curated record.